RNAcentral lists this ribosomal RNA (507 nucleotides) under uncultured bacterium. Its description in RNAcentral is "bacterial SSU rRNA". It matches the Rfam family "Bacterial small subunit ribosomal RNA", at positions 8 to 526 of the family's 1533-position model. The record is from RNAcentral.
AGGGUUUGAUCAUGGCUCAGAGUGAACGCUGGCGGCGUGCUUAACACAUGCAAGUCGAACGAGAACGGGUUAUAGCUUGCUAUAAUUGUCAGCUAAGUGGCGCACGGGUGAGUAAUGUAUAGGUAAUAUGCCUCUUACUAAGGGAUAACAAAUGGAAACGUUUGCUAAUACCUUAUACUCCUUAUUAACAGAAGUUAAUAAGGGAAAGAUUUAUUGGUAAGAGAUUAGCCUGUAUUGUAUCAGUUAGUUGGUGGGGUAAUGGCUUACCAAGACUAUGACACAUAACUGGUUUGAGAGGAUGAUCAGUCACACUGGAACUGAGACACGGUCCAGACUCCUACGGGAGGCAGCAGUGGGGAAUAUUGCACAAUGGACGAAAGUCUGAUGCAGCAACGCCGCGUGGAGGAUGACACAUUUCGGUGCGUAAACUCCUUUUAUAUGAGAAGAUAAUGACGGUAUUAUAUGAAUAAGCACCGGCUAACUCCGUGCCAGCCGCCGCGGUAAUAC